AGUUCGGACUGUAGGCUGCAACUCGCCUACACGAAGUUGGAAUUGCUAGUAAUCGUGGAUCAGCAUGCCACGGUGAAUACGUUCCCGGGUCUUGUACACACCGCCCGCCACACCAUGGGAGCUGGUAACACCCGAAGUCAGUAGUCUAACCGCAAGGAGGACGCUGCCGAAGGUGGGAUUAGCGACUGGGGUGAAGUCGUAACAAGGUACC
RNAcentral lists this ribosomal RNA (211 nucleotides) under uncultured bacterium. RNAcentral describes it as "partial 16S ribosomal RNA". It matches the Rfam family "Bacterial small subunit ribosomal RNA", at positions 1290 to 1500 of the family's 1533-position model. The record is from RNAcentral.